AACGAACGCUGGCGGCAGGCCUAACACAUGCAAGUCGAACGCUCUAGCAAUAGAGAGUGGCAGACGGGUGAGUAACGCGUGGGAACCUUCCCUAUGGUGUGGAAUAACUCGCCGAAAGGCGAGCUAAUACCGCAUAAGCCCGCAAGGGGAAAGAUUAUCGCCAUAGGAUGGGCCCGCGUAGGAUUAGCUAGUUGGUGAGGUAACGGCUCACCAAGGCGACGAUCCAGUCUGGUUUGAGAGAAUGACCAGCCACACUGGGACUGAGACACGGCCCAGACUCCUACGGGAGGCAGCAGUGGGGAAGUCUUGGACAAUGGGCGCAAGCCUGAUCCAGCCAUGCCGCGUGAGUGACGAAGGCCUUAGGGUUGUAAAGCUCUUUUGGC
This 383-nucleotide ribosomal RNA is filed under the name uncultured bacterium. Its description in RNAcentral is "bacterial SSU rRNA". It matches the Rfam family "Bacterial small subunit ribosomal RNA", at positions 29 to 440 of the family's 1533-position model. The record is from RNAcentral.